This 197-nucleotide unclassified non-coding RNA is filed under the name plant metagenome. RNAcentral's name for it is "partial contains small subunit ribosomal RNA, internal transcribed spacer 1, and 5.8S ribosomal RNA". The record is from RNAcentral.
UCUCCGUUGGUGAGCCAGCGGAGGGAUCAUUACCGAGUUUACAACUCCCAAACCCCUGUGAACAUACCUAUCGUUGCCUCGGCGGUGCCCGCUCCGGCGGCCCGCCAGAGGACCCCCAAACUCUUGUUUUAUACAGUAUCUUCUGAGUAACACGAUUAAAUAAAUCAAAACUUUCAACAACGGAUCUCUUGGUUCUG